Molecule: ribosomal RNA, 117 nt
Filed under: Allostreptomyces psammosilenae
Lineage: Bacteria; Bacillati; Actinomycetota; Actinomycetes; Kitasatosporales; Streptomycetaceae
Source: RNAcentral
UCCGGUGGUCAUAGCGUGAGGGAAACGCCCGGUUACAUUCCGAACCCGGAAGCUAAGCCUUACAGCGCCGAUGGUACUGCAUGCGGGAGUGUGUGGGAGAGUAGGACGCCGCCGGAA